UACGGAGGGUGCGAGCGUUAAUCGGAAUUACUGGGCGUAAAGCGCACGCAGGCGGUUUGUUAAGCUAGAUGUGAAAGCCCCGGGCUCAACCUGGGGUGGUCAUUUAGAACUGGCAGACUAGAGUCUUGGAGAGGGGAGUGGAAUUCCAGGUGUAGCGGUGAAAUGCGUAGAUAUCUGGAGGAACAUCAGUGGCGAAGGCGACUCCCUGGCCAAAGACUGACGCUCAUGUGCGAAAGUGUGGGUAGCGAACAGG
This 253-nucleotide ribosomal RNA is filed under the name uncultured bacterium. RNAcentral describes it as "partial 16S ribosomal RNA". It matches the Rfam family "Bacterial small subunit ribosomal RNA", at positions 524 to 776 of the family's 1533-position model. The record is from RNAcentral.